Molecule: ribosomal RNA, 207 nt
Filed under: uncultured bacterium
Lineage: Bacteria
Description: partial 16S ribosomal RNA
Rfam family: Bacterial small subunit ribosomal RNA
Source: RNAcentral
CGCGUAGGCGGUCUUUUAAGUCAGAUGUGAAAGCCCGGGGCUUAACCCCGGAAGUGCAUUUGAAACUAAGGGACUUGAGUAUGGGAGAGGGAAGUGGAAUUCCUGGUGUAGAGGUGAAAUUCGUAGAUACCAGGAGGAACACCGGUGGCGAAGGCGACUUCCUGGACCAAUACUGACGCUGAGGCGCGAAGGCGUGGGGAGCAAACA